Molecule: ribosomal RNA, 482 nt
Filed under: uncultured bacterium
Lineage: Bacteria
Description: partial 16S ribosomal RNA
Rfam family: Bacterial small subunit ribosomal RNA
Source: RNAcentral
ACGAACGCUGGCGGCGUGCUUAACACAUGCAAGUCGAACGCUGAAGCUCAGCUUUUGUUGGGUGGAUGAGUGGCGAACGGGUGAGUAACACGUGAGUAACCUGCCUCCUUCUUUGGGAUAACGCCCGGAAACGGGUGCUAAUACUGGAUAUUCACUGGUCUUCGCAUGGGGGUUGGUGGAAAGGGUUUUUCUGGUGGGGGAUGGGCUCGCGGCCUAUCAGCUUGUUGGUGGGGUGAUGGCCUACCAAGGCUUUGACGGGUAGCCGGCCUGAGAGGGUGACCGGUCACAUUGGGACUGAGAUACGGCCCAGACUCCUACGGGAGGCAGCAGUGGGGAAUAAUGCACAAUGGGCGCAAGCCUGAUGCAGCGACGCCGCGUGAGGGAUGGAGGCCUUCGGGUUGUGAACCUCUUUCGCUCAUGGUCAAGCCGCAACAAUGGUUGUGGUGAGGGUAGUGGGUAAAGAAGCGCCGGCUAACUACGUG